Molecule: small RNA, 887 nt
Filed under: Pan troglodytes (chimpanzee)
Lineage: Eukaryota; Metazoa; Chordata; Mammalia; Primates; Hominidae
Description: processed transcript
Source: RNAcentral
ACUUCUCGGGAGACAUUUCCUUUUGUAAUUUGCCCUCGAUCUUGUCUUAUCUUUGAAAGGUUGCUGGAAUUUCUCUGUUCCUUGGAGUUUGGGGGUUUUUUGAUUUGUUUUUUCUUUGGUGCUUGUAAAGAAACAAAGAAAAGAGUGGUAGCCAGCCCGCCUGCCUGGAUCACAUGCAGGACAGAAGAGCCUUGUCCCUCAAAGCCCACCAGUCAGAGAGCUACCUGCCGAUUGGCUGCAAGCUGCCACCUCAGUCCUCGGGUGUGGACACAAGCCCCUGCCCAAACUCACCUGUGUUCAGGACGGGAAGCGAGCCUGCCCUGAGCCCAGCAGUGGUUCGGAGGGUCUCCUCAGACGCCAGGGCUGGGGAGGCGCUGAGGGGAUCAGACAGUCAGCUGUGCCCUAAGCCCCCGCCUAAGCCCUGCAAGGUGCCGUUCCUCAAGGUUCCCUCGUCUCCCUCUGCCUGGCUCAACUCAGAGGCCAACUACUGUGAACUGAACCCAGCGUUUGCCACAGGCUGCGGCAGGGGAGCAAAGCUACCCUCAUGUGCCCAGGGAAGCCACACGGAACUGCUCACAGCCAAGCAGAAUGGGGCGCCAGGUCCCCGGAACUCUGGCGUCAACUACUUGAUCCUUGAUGAUGAUGACAGGGAAAGACCUUGGGAACCUGCGGCAGCUCAGAUGGAGAAGGGGCAGUGGGACAAGGGCGAGUUUGUGACGCCCCUCCUGGAGACUGUCUCCUCCUUCAGGCCCAACGAGUUUGAGUCAAAGUUCCUUCCCCCUGAGAAUAAGCCCCUGGAAACAGCAAUGUUGAAACGUGCAAAAGAACUGUUCACCAACAACGACCCCAAGGUCAUCGCCCAGCACGUACUGAGCAUGGACUGCAGG